Molecule: ribosomal RNA, 484 nt
Filed under: uncultured bacterium
Lineage: Bacteria
Description: partial 16S ribosomal RNA
Rfam family: Bacterial small subunit ribosomal RNA
Source: RNAcentral
AUUGAACGCUGGCGGCAUGCCUAACACAUGCAAGUCGAGCGGAUGAAGGGAGCUUGCUCCUGGAUUCAGCGGCGGACGGGUGAGUAAGUCCUAGGAAUCUGCCUGGCAUUGGAGGAUAACGUCCGGAAACGGGCGCUAAUACCGCAUACGUCCUGAUGGAGAAAGUGGGGGAUCUUCGGACCUCACGCUAUCAGAUGAGCCUAGGUCGGAUUAGCUAGUUGGUGUGGUAAAGGCUUACCAAGGCGACGAUCCGUAACUGGUCUGAGAGGAUGAUCAGUCACACUGGAACUGAGACACGGUCCAGACUCCUACGGGAGGCAGCAGUGGGGAAUAUUGGACAAUGGGCGAAAGCCUGAUCCAGCAAUGCCGCGUGUGUGAAGAAGGUCUUCGGAUUGUAAAGCACUUUAAGUUGGGAGGAAGGGAAGUAAGUUAAUACCUUGCUGUUUUGACGUUACCAACAGAAUAAGCACCGGCUAACUUCGUG